CAACAAACUACAUGACUGCUUUCCCUACUUCUGCCCUGUGGCCUUAGGACACUUAGGCAUAUCCACAGCUCUUCAAAUAAGCAAUGUGAUGUUAGCAAAAGUGCAGGGGCUCCUUGAGAACUUUCCAGGGCUAACCAGCUGCUGAGGAGUGGCCUCCAGGAAAGAGAGAAGCACUCUGAUUCAGGCAGUGAUUUACACCUAAAAUACCAACUCCAUCAUAUCUUCAGAACAAUUCUUCUAGACCUUGCAUCUAAAUAUGG
RNAcentral lists this long non-coding RNA (260 nucleotides) under Homo sapiens (human). RNAcentral's name for it is "HSALNT0201855". Lineage: Eukaryota; Metazoa; Chordata; Mammalia; Primates; Hominidae. The record is from RNAcentral.